RNAcentral lists this transfer RNA (75 nucleotides) under Candidatus Altimarinota bacterium. Its description in RNAcentral is "tRNA-Met". It matches the Rfam family "tRNA". Rfam says of the family: Transfer RNA (tRNA) molecules are approximately 80 nucleotides in length. Lineage: Bacteria; Candidatus Altimarinota. The record is from RNAcentral.
CGCGGAGUAGAGAAGUGGCAUCUCGCAAGGCUCAUAACCUUGAGGUCGUCUGUUCGAUUCAGACCUCCGCAACCA